Molecule: long non-coding RNA, 497 nt
Filed under: Panax ginseng (ginseng)
Lineage: Eukaryota; Viridiplantae; Streptophyta; Magnoliopsida; Apiales; Araliaceae
Description: long non-coding RNA (PGIN_LNC017545)
Source: RNAcentral
AGCACCUCCACCAAAUCCUCCACCUCUCCCACCUCCAAGUCCACCGCCACCCCCUAAGCCACCUCCACCACCAAAACCUCCACCAUGCCCACCUCCAAAUCUACCACGACCACCGCAACCUCGGCGGCCACCAAAACGACAAUCAUCAUCACGCCAUCGAGUUUUAUCAAGUUUGUCAUCUCCAAGAGCGACUGAACUCAAGUGAAAAGAAAUGCUCAAGAGAAGCAGAAGAGCAAAAACCCAUUUACUAGAGAAACUAAUUAAACCCAUGGCCAGCUGAGCUAGUACAGACUUUACUAGGUUAUGAUCAGCUCGAUCCAGUUGGCUUGAUCCGAUUGAUUCACUACCAAAGCUCAUAAUAUAUAGGGUUCAUCCACUUGGCAGGCAAAUAAUUGAAGCAAAGUCCUGAGCACCCACAACGUAGUCAUUAAUAUGGUGCAUAUGUUAUGGUCAUCUAUUGAUUAUGGUUAUGGAUGUAACGCGUUAGAACCGUUGGG